RNAcentral lists this ribosomal RNA (497 nucleotides) under uncultured bacterium. RNAcentral describes it as "partial 16S ribosomal RNA". It matches the Rfam family "Bacterial small subunit ribosomal RNA", at positions 28 to 507 of the family's 1533-position model. The record is from RNAcentral.
GACGAACGCUGGCGGCGUGCCUAAUACAUGCAAGUUGAGCGCUGAAGGCUGGUACUUGUACCAACUGGAUGAGCAGCGAACGGGUGAGUAACGCGUGGGGAAUCUGCCUUUGAGCGGGGGACAACAUUUGGAAACGAAUGCUAAUACCGCAUAAAAACUUUAAACACAAGUUUUAAGUUUGAAAGAUGCAAUUGCAUCACUCAAAGAUGAUCCCGCGUUGUAUUAGCUAGUUGGUGAGGUAAAGGCUCACCAAGGCGAUGAUACAUAGCCGACCUGAGAGGGUGAUCGGCCACAUUGGGACUGAGACACGGCCCAAACUCCUACGGGAGGCAGCAGUAGGGAAUCUUCGGCAAUGGACGAAAGUCUGACCGAGCAACGCCGCGUGAGGGAAGAAGGUUUUCGGAUCGUAAAACUCGGUUGGUAGAGAAGAACGUUGGUGAGAGUGGAAAGCUCAUCAAGUGACGGUAACUACCCAGAAAGGGACGGCUAACUACGUG